UACGGGGGGAGCAAGCGUUGUUCGGAUUUACUGGGCGUAAAGGGCGCGUAGGCGGCCAGCACAAGUCAGUUGUGAAAUCUCCGGGCUUAACUCGGAAAGGUCAACUGAUACUGUGCGACUAGAGUGCAGAAGGGGCAACUGGAAUUCUCGGUGUAGCGGUGAAAUGCGUAGAUAUCGAGAGGAACACCUGCGGCGAAGGCGGGUUGCUGGGCUGACACUGACGCUGAUGCGCGAAAGCCAGGGGAGCGAACGGG
RNAcentral lists this ribosomal RNA (254 nucleotides) under uncultured bacterium. Its description in RNAcentral is "partial 16S ribosomal RNA". It matches the Rfam family "Bacterial small subunit ribosomal RNA", at positions 524 to 776 of the family's 1533-position model. The record is from RNAcentral.